This 433-nucleotide ribosomal RNA is filed under the name uncultured bacterium. RNAcentral describes it as "partial 16S ribosomal RNA". It matches the Rfam family "Bacterial small subunit ribosomal RNA", at positions 29 to 507 of the family's 1533-position model. The record is from RNAcentral.
AACGAACGCUGGCGGCAUGCCUAACACAUGCAAGUCGAACGAGACCUUCGGGUCUAGUGGCGCACGGGUGCGUAACGCGUGGGAACCUGCCCUUAGGUUCGGAAUAACUCAGAGAAAUUUGAGCUAAUACCGGAUAAUGUCUUCGGACCAAAGAUUUAUCGCCUUUGGAUGGGCCCGCGUAGGAUUAGCUUGUUGGUGGGGUAAUGGCCUACCAAGGCGACGAUCCUUAGCUGGUCUGAGAGGAUGAUCAGCCACACUGGGACUGAGACACGGCCCAGACUCCUACGGGAGGCAGCAGUGGGGAAUAUUGGACAAUGGGCGAAAGCCUGAUCCAGCAAUGCCGCGUGAGUGAUGAAGGCCUUAGGGUUGUAAAGCUCUUUUACCAGGGAUGAUAAUGACAGUACCUGGAGAAUAAGCACCGGCUAACUCCGUG